RNAcentral lists this ribosomal RNA (492 nucleotides) under uncultured bacterium. RNAcentral describes it as "partial 16S ribosomal RNA". It matches the Rfam family "Bacterial small subunit ribosomal RNA", at positions 29 to 507 of the family's 1533-position model. The record is from RNAcentral.
AGUGAACGCUGGCGGUAGGCCUAACACAUGCAAGUCGAACGGCAGCACAGUAAGAGCUUGCUCUUACGGGUGGCGAGUGGCGGACGGGUGAGGAAUACAUCGGAAUCUACUUUUUCGUGGGGGAUAACGUAGGGAAACUUACGCUAAUACCGCAUACGACCUACGGGUGAAAGCAGGGGAUCUUCGGACCUUGCGCGAUUGAAUGAGCCGAUGUCGGAUUAGCUAGUUGGCUGGGUAAAGGCCCACCAAGGCGACGAUCCGUAGCUGGUCUGAGAGGAUGAUCAGCCACACUGGAACUGAGACACGGUCCAGACUCCUACGGGAGGCAGCAGUGGGGAAUAUUGGACAAUGGGCGAAAGCCUGAUCCAGCCAUACCGCGUGGGUGAAGAAGGCCUUCGGGUUGUAAAGCCCUUUUGUUGGGAAAGAAAAGCAGCAGGUUAAUACCCCGCUGUUCUGACGGUACCCAAAGAAUAAGCACCGGCUAACUUCGUG